CAAUAGCGUAUAUUAAAGUUGUUGCGGUUGAAAAGCUCGUAAUUGGAUUUCUGUUGGGAACGACCGGUCCGCCCAUUGGGUGUGUAUCUGGCUUGUUCUCGGCAUCUUCUUGAUGAACGUUGCUGCACUUGAUUGUGUGGAGCGCUACCCAGGACUUUUACUUUGAGGAAAUUAGAAUGUUUCAAGCAGGCAUAUGCCUUGAAUACAUUAGCAUGGAAUAAUAAGAUAGGACCUCGGUUCUAUUUUGUUGGUUUCUAGAGCUGAGGUAAUGAUUAAUAGGGAUAGUUGGGGGCAUUCGUAUUUAACUGUCAGAGGUGAAAUUCUUGGAUUUGCUAAAGACGGAUUACUGCGAAAGCAUUUGCCAAGGAUGUUUUCAUUGA
Molecule: ribosomal RNA, 380 nt
Filed under: uncultured eukaryote
Lineage: Eukaryota
Description: partial 18S ribosomal RNA
Rfam family: Eukaryotic small subunit ribosomal RNA
Source: RNAcentral